RNAcentral lists this ribosomal RNA (774 nucleotides) under uncultured Neocallimastigales. RNAcentral's name for it is "partial large subunit ribosomal RNA". It matches the Rfam family "Eukaryotic large subunit ribosomal RNA", at positions 22 to 640 of the family's 3401-position model. The record is from RNAcentral. Lineage: Eukaryota; Fungi; Neocallimastigomycota; Neocallimastigomycetes; Neocallimastigales.
CAUAGCGACUAUCGUGGCAUAUCAAUAAGCGGAGGAAAAGAAACUAACAAGGAUUCCCCUAGUAACGGCGAGUGAAGCGGGAAGAGCUCAAAUUUGAAAUCUUCAAGGGUUUCCCUUGACGAAUUGUAGUUUAAAGAAGUGUUUUCUGUUAGAGAGGUGGUAAAAGUUCUUUGGAAUAGGACAUCAUAGAGGGUGAGAAUCCCGUAUUUGAUCACUUUCUACUAACGUUGUGAUACACUUUCAAAGAGUCGGAUUGUUUGGGAAUGCAGUCCAAAAUGGGUGGUAAAUUUCAUCUAAAGCUAAAUAUUGGCGAGAGACCGAUAGCGAACAAGUACCGUGAGGGAAAGAUGAAAAGAACUUUGAAAAGAGAGUUAAACAGUACGUGAAAUUGUCAAAAGGGAAGCGUUUGACACCAGUGUUGUUUUUCCGAAAAUCAAUUAAGAAUGGCCGGAUUUUAAGUUUCAUGACCUUAAAAGCUUGUUUCUUAUUUUUCUUGUCUUUCUUAAUGCACUUUUCGGUUAACAAGUCAACAUCAAUUUCUUUUGUUGUAAAAGAGUCAUUGGAAGGUGGCUUUCUCUUCGGAAAAAGUGUUUAUAGCCUUUGGCUUCUGCAAUCGGAGAGAUUGAGGUCUGCAGCGUAGAUCCUUCGGGGUUAGAUACAUUUGUGCUAAGCUAUAGUUCUUUAUAGACAACUUGUUGACUAUAAUCAAUCCUGUAACUUACUCGCUUAUGCUAUUUUACCUACGCUUAGGAUGUUGAUAUGCAUGACUGAUAU